RNAcentral lists this ribosomal RNA (468 nucleotides) under uncultured bacterium. RNAcentral's name for it is "partial 16S ribosomal RNA". It matches the Rfam family "Bacterial small subunit ribosomal RNA", at positions 28 to 507 of the family's 1533-position model. The record is from RNAcentral.
GACGAACGCUGGCGGCGUGCUUAACACAUGCAAGUCGAACGGAAAGGCCCUGCUUUUGUGGGGUGCUCGAGUGGCGAACGGGUGAGUAACACGUGAGUAACCUGCCCUUGACUUUGGGAUAACUUCAGGAAACUGGGGCUAAUACCGGAUAGGAGCUCCUGCUGCAUGGUGGGGGUUGGAAAGUUUCGGCGGUUGGGGAUGGACUCGCGGCUGAUCCGCUUGUUGGUGGGGUAGUGGAUUACCAAGGCUUUGACGGGUAGCCGGCCUGAGAGGGUGACCGGCCACAUUGGGACUGAGAUACGGCCCAGACUCCUACGGGAGGCAGCAGGGGGGAAUAUUACACAAUGGGCGGAAGCCUGAUGCAGCAACGCCGCGUGCGGGAUGACGGCCUUCGGGUUGUAAACCGCUUUCGCCUGUGACGAAGCGUGAGUGACGGUAAUGGGUAAAGAAGCACCGGCUAACUACGUG